Molecule: ribosomal RNA, 253 nt
Filed under: uncultured bacterium
Lineage: Bacteria
Description: partial 16S ribosomal RNA
Rfam family: Bacterial small subunit ribosomal RNA
Source: RNAcentral
UACGUAGGUGGCAAGCGUUAUCCGGAAUUACUGGGCGUAAAGCGCACGCAGGCGGUCUUUUAAGUUUGACGUGAAAGCUCCCGGCUUAACUGGGAGAGGUCGUUGAAGACUGGAAGACUUGAGGCAAUGAGAGGGGUGUAGAAUUCCCGGUGUAGUGGUGGAAUGCGUAGAUAUUGGGAGGAACACCAGUGGCGAAGGCGGCUCACUGGACCGGUACUGACGCUGAUGCGCGAAAGCGUGGGGAGCAAACGGG